GAAAUCCUUUCUCGUCUAGAUCCAAACUACGUUCCUUUCUACAUGCCGAUCUCGUCUAGAUCUAGAUCGAAACAAGUUUCCUUUCUCCAUGCCGAUCCGUGCGGUUUACUUCUCGUCGGAUGCUUUGUCGGAUCGACGAACGGUGAAUAUCUCUCCGUUGUUUGUCUGCUCGAAACACAUGGGCUUGUUUUGUGAUGUGCAGAUUCAGAUCUGAUUAAGAGUUGCGCGUGCGCCGGCUCGGAUCGAGACGAGGCUGCGUCGAUGUGUGCGCGGUGGCUGCUGGUCUGCAUGUUUGGGCGCGUCGGAUCUGAUGUUGGUUAGUCCUUUGCCCAAGGAACCCGUGUUGAUUCAGUCUGUUUCGGUUGGUCGUACGGUGCCUUAUCCCUCGAUUUUGUUUUCUGCUGACCUUCAGAGCUGGGACGUCUCGGCGAGAUUGGGGUGAUCUGGCGGUUUCGGAGGCGUGGAAGGGACGCGGCGGUGUGGUCGGAUUGCUGGAUUUGCUUCAACUCUCCUGAUGAUAUCUCUUUGUAUUGAUAAUUAUUGGAUGGAAUUUCCAUAAUUAUUAGAUCCGAGAGAUGUUGCUCGGGGAAAUCCGUGCCUUGAAGGCGAGGUAAGCUAAACACAUGUAACCAGCGAGUUGCGUGUGGAGUCGGGAGGAGAAAAGAAAAAAAGAUGUGAAAAAAGAGAAGAUGUGAAAAAAAAAGAUGUGACAUCUUGAAGGCCUUUGCCAUGAUGGGUGCGCUCGCAUGGCAGGCCACCGUAAUAAAGAUGUUGAUUUUGUGCCUCGGGUGGGAGAUCGCACGGGGGGUUAUUUUUUUUAUCCCCCGGGUUCUCCCUCCCCUUGUGUCCCUGUGCCCGCUUCUUCUUGUUGGCUACACGUCUCCCUGGUACACCUCGGGCAUUCUACAAUUUGGCAAGGAGCUACAGCGCCGCACGCAAGGUACAAUUGGCAAUCUGAAGUUGCAAUUCAUAUUACAUACUAAUCCAUACUUAUGCUGUUGCAAUUUAUAAUGCAAACUAGAUAAAUUUCUUAACGUCUAUAACUAAGCGAAGUUUAGUGGUGCAAUCAUCAAUCCUUGUUGCUUGUAGUACGUGCUUUCAUUAACUCAUUAACUUCACGGUUAAAGCAGUCAUCCAUGCCAUGCUUCUUAAUUUUAGGACGUGCCAAGUCAUAGUGCACCCAUCUGUUCUUCCAUCCGAGCAACACCACUGACACACGAACGACGCGUACUGUUCGAUUUUUAAGUCGAUCUGCGUACCAAAUUGAAAAAAUGAAUUAAUUAAAGGGAAACCUGGCGAUGAUAACUGCUGGUUUCUGAAUUACACCUUCACACCUCAAUACUAUCAUCUGUGAAUCUACUGAGUUCAAUUAUGUGGCAAAUGUGUCACGUUCUGAAUUACACCUUCACACCUCACCUUCACACCUUAAUACUAUCAGCUGUGAAUCUUCUGAGUUAAAUUAUGUGUAUGUGGCAAAUGUGUCGCGGCUGCUACGCUGAUUCUUUUAAGUGUUACUUUCAUGCUUCAAUUAGCACCUCACCUAGGAUUUCUGUCAAGAAACAUGAAAUUCUAUAUAUAUUGGGCACUGUAAGUUCUCUGUUAUAUUUUGUUCUGAGUGUUAAUUUUGAAUUAUAUCAAUAUCUAGAAUGAUCAAGUGUUGCAAGUUUAUGUGAUAUUUAGUUCUAUAGUGGUUAUGCAAGAUGCAGCUAUUCAACUAGUUUAUUGUAAUCAGUUUGUGUAAGUGCAAUUUGUCUUCCCUUGUAAGUUGUAUAAGGACAUGUACGAGGAUGUAUGGCGAGAUGGCGUGCUGGUUUAUGAAGCUUCCAGCUGUUCUCUUCCCUGGAAGAUACUGCUGAGGCUUCGUGCCUCCUGGGAGUUCCGCAGCUGCUCAUGCUCCUGGGAGUUCUGAAGUUCUUGCUGGUGCUUUCAGCGGUUAUGUUGCUGAAGCUUCCUAAAUGUCUUCGGUUGGAGGUUCUGGAGUUAUGAUGUCUUCUGCUGAAGUCGAAGCUUUGCUGAAGCCUCCUAAAUAUCUGAAAUUUUCUGUGGUUUUAUUGGUCGAGCUCCCCCGUGGUCUAGAAAAGUACUUCACCACUUGAGCGGACCGUCUGGCUGCUUGGCGGGUUUCACAAUAUAUGGUGACUGAUGCUGCUUAAUUUUUGUAACACAUGUUUUGUCGUUGCAAUUGUUCUUGUCGUAUUUUUUGAGGUUGAGCUGUAAGAGUAGUUCACCUGGAGAGUACAUUAUCUACAGUUCUGCUGGCAUUUUUUUGGAGGAGACAACGUGGAAGAGGUUUGGGCUGAAGGUAUAUCUGAUUUCACUCAUUCAUUGCUAUCCGACACUCAACUUUGUAUUGUAAUUUGUUGCAACUGCUGUGCAUGUGUCCGAAGCAGUUUACAUUUUGUAUAAGCUUAGGUUUUUUACGCUGUUCUGUUUGUGGGCAGAUCUGUCUCGUUGCUGGUUUUCAUUUCAAAUAAGCGUAGGUUCGUACAAGUGAUUUUGGCAACAAAAUUGAGGUUAAGUUUCGCGUAUAGACCGCUGUGUAGUCCUCGUCUGUGUCCCGACUCUGUCUCUGGAUCUUAUCUCAACACGGUGAGGUCCUCCGUGGACUGGUCAGCUUUGCCUACCUGCCCGGACGGAAGGUGGUUCGACUCCACCAAGAUCCUGUAGUUGUGUAGUUUAUUUACUUUCAUUGUUAUAAAUUAAAUUUAUUGC
This 2712-nucleotide long non-coding RNA is filed under the name Setaria viridis. Its description in RNAcentral is "long non-coding RNA (SVIR_LNC011374)". The record is from RNAcentral. Lineage: Eukaryota; Viridiplantae; Streptophyta; Magnoliopsida; Poales; Poaceae.